Molecule: ribosomal RNA, 301 nt
Filed under: uncultured bacterium
Lineage: Bacteria
Description: partial 16S ribosomal RNA
Rfam family: Bacterial small subunit ribosomal RNA
Source: RNAcentral
CAGCAGCCGCGGGAAUACGGAGGGAGCUAGCGUUGUUCGGAAUUACUGGGCGUAAAGCGCGCGUAGGCGGUUACUCAAGUCAGAGGUGAAAGCCCGGGGCUCAACCCCGGAACUGCCUUUGAAACUAGGUGACUAGAAUCUUGGAGAGGUCAGUGGAAUCCCGAGUGUAGAGGUGAAAUUCGUAGAUAUUCGGAAGAACACCAGUGGCGAAGGCGACUGACUGGACAAGUAUUGACGCUGAGGUGCGAAAGCGUGGGGAGCAAACAGGAUUAGAUACCCCAGUAGUCCCUGUCUCUUAUAC